RNAcentral lists this non-coding RNA (103 nucleotides) under Priestia koreensis. RNAcentral describes it as "Bacillus koreensis SAM-I sequence". It matches the Rfam family "SAM riboswitch aptamer (S box leader)". From Rfam's summary of the family: The SAM riboswitch is found upstream of a number of genes which code for proteins involved in methionine or cysteine biosynthesis in Gram-positive bacteria. The SAM riboswitch acts at the level of transcription termination control. Lineage: Bacteria; Bacillati; Bacillota; Bacilli; Caryophanales; Bacillaceae. The record is from Rfam by way of RNAcentral.
AAGUUAUCAAGAGUGAAUGAGAGAACUGGCUCUAUGACUUCACAGCAACCUGCCAACAGCAAGGUGCUCCAACCAGCAAAGCAAUUGCUUUGGAUGAUAAGAC